GCGCGAAAACUCCGCAAUGCGCGCAAGCGUGACGGGGGGACCCCAAGUGCCGUUGGUCUAUUGAUCGACGGUUUUUAGGAAGUCUAAGAAGCUUCCAGAAUAAGGGCUGGGUAAGACUGGUGCCAGCCGCCGCGGUAACACCAGCAGCCCAAGUGGUGGCCACGAUUAUUGGGCCUAAAGCGCUCGUAGCCGGACCAGCAAGUCCCUUGUGAAAUCGGGCCGCCCAACGGUUCGGCGUGCAAGGGAUACUGUUGGCCUUGAGGCCGGGAGAGGUCGGAGGUACUCCUGGGGUAGCGGUGAAAUGCUCUAAUCCUGGGGGGACCACCAGUGGCGAAGGCGUCCGGCCAGAACGGACCUGACGGUGAGGGGCGAAGGCUAGGGGAGCGAACGGG
Molecule: ribosomal RNA, 392 nt
Filed under: uncultured Methanobacteriales archaeon
Lineage: Archaea; Methanobacteriati; Methanobacteriota; Methanobacteria; Methanobacteriales
Description: bacterial SSU rRNA
Rfam family: Archaeal small subunit ribosomal RNA
Source: RNAcentral